GACGAACGCUGGCGGCGUGCUUAACACAUGCAAGUCGAACGAUGACUUCUGUGCUUGCACAGGAUGAUUAGUGGCGAACGGGUGAGUAACACGUGAGUAACCUGCCCCUGACUUCGGGAUAAGCCUGGGAAACCGGGUCUAAUACCGGAUACGACCACCGGCCGCAUGGCCUGGUGGUGGAAAGAUUUAUUUCGGUCAGGGAUGGACUCGCGGCCUAUCAGCNGGUUGGCGGGGUAAUGGCCCACCAAGGCGACGACGGGUAGCCGGCCUGAGAGGGUGACCGGCCACACUGGGACUGAGACACGGCCCAGACUCCUACGGGAGGCAGCAGUGGGGAAUAUUGCACAAUGGGCGCAAGCCUGAUGCAGCGACGCCGCGUGAGGGA
Molecule: ribosomal RNA, 385 nt
Filed under: uncultured bacterium
Lineage: Bacteria
Description: bacterial SSU rRNA
Rfam family: Bacterial small subunit ribosomal RNA
Source: RNAcentral